AUGAGGAUGGCUGAAGGGGCUGCGAUGAUAAGAAAGCUGACGCCUGAAGAAAGGGCCAGGAUUAUUGCCAAAUCAAUGGCUGAAAAAUCUGCCAGGGAGGCUGACGAAGCUGGAGGUGAUGAGCAGGAGAGUGGACCGGCACAAUGCGAGGAAGAAUCGUUCGCUGCCGAGUUUCGCUCUUUCUGGGACAGAUUCUACGCUCGCUGCUGCGGUGCUACCUUCGACCAGACCACAUCUAUCCCUGCCAUGUGUCACACGAAUCCUGCUUCUGAACGCUCGGCCAAGGCCAUGGACACUCUGCAGAUUAUGUCAGUCAAAGUUGCAUCAAUCAACGGGGAUUUGCGCUGGCCACUGGAAGUGUUUGGUAUGAUAGCUGCACGUGAUGUCUUGGAUCAGAAGCGCAAUUUUAUUUUCCACCGUGCGAGGACUAACUGCCAGACCAUCACCCAGGAGGAUUGCUACCUAGCACUGGCGGGUUCUACCCGUGCUAUUGUCGUGGCAUAUGAUCCUUCAUACAUUGAGGUUUCGCUGAAAGUGAAGGGCACUACAGAAUCUGAGGAUAAAGAUUUAAGUGCUCUUGUGGUGGUGUUUAGAGCUGGAUACUGUCCUGAAAAUGGAUUUCGUGGUGUAUAUAGUGCUGCCUCCCGUAGUGAUGACAACCUGCAGGUCAAGUUGCUUGAAUAUGAAGAUGGCGGAUUGCCCGUUGAUGCUGAUGGUGUGAUCACGCUCUCACGACGUGUGGUCUCUGUUGAACUUGAGAGAAACCUGAAGGUUUCAGUAAUGGCAAUUCCAGUUAACGAGGGAGAUGCCGUUGAGACCAGCGAAGCAGUUUUAAAAUCUCAUAGAGCUGGUGUAAGUCCCGCAGGCAUCAAUCUCAACGUUGGCUCCUGCAAUAUGGAAGUUCGUGUUGCUUGGUCCUGUUUCCGUCGUGAGUGUUGA
This 939-nucleotide ribosomal RNA is filed under the name Triticum aestivum (bread wheat). RNAcentral describes it as "partial small subunit ribosomal RNA". Lineage: Eukaryota; Viridiplantae; Streptophyta; Magnoliopsida; Poales; Poaceae. The record is from RNAcentral.